AUGGGAGAUUUCUGGGAGGAGUCUCUCCAUCAAUCUUGAGAGAGAAUUCAACACCCGGGGGGAGGGAGGAAAAGGCUACAUAAUUCAAUUUCCUCUCCCCCCCAUAGAAACUCUUUAUCAGUUUGUCCAUGCUGCACAGCCAUUAGCUUCAGCAACAAAUCCUACGGGGCCUCUGGCGAGCGCAUGGCGAACCGGCAAGUCACAGAUCGGCGAUGGUGAACUCCGAAACCGUAGUCGGAGUCAC
RNAcentral lists this small RNA (244 nucleotides) under Ananas comosus (pineapple). RNAcentral describes it as "Early nodulin 40". It matches the Rfam family "Early nodulin 40". The record is from Rfam by way of RNAcentral. Lineage: Eukaryota; Viridiplantae; Streptophyta; Magnoliopsida; Poales; Bromeliaceae.